Long non-coding RNA from Ooceraea biroi (clonal raider ant), 6406 nucleotides. RefSeq lists it as uncharacterized. The record is from RefSeq and is a predicted model, not a curated record. NCBI's taxonomy places the organism in Eukaryota, Metazoa, Arthropoda, Insecta, Hymenoptera, Formicidae.
AGGAAUGGUGUUGAGAGUUAGUGCGAUCGUCGAAAGCACAAUAAAGAGUAUUGAUAUCACAGCUAUCACCUGGAAAAGCGACGGGUCAACCGGUCAAACGGAGCUAGCCAGACGCGAGCUACCUGGUCUACGUGUACGUUUAAGGGGAGCUCCCUCUCUUUAACGUCUUUUCUUUCAUUCUCUGUCCGUCUUUAUCGGGCUCUACCGGGGGUAUUCUCCUAAAUCUAUAGCCGUGCUAUCAUCGCGUCUACGUUGGAACGGGAACGUAACGAGUCACUUGUCUACAUUCUAUUCUCUAGAAUCAAAACGAGCGAGCUAAUGUCGCGACAUAUUAAUCCUGUUAAUACGUGAAAGAAGUAAUUCGAGCACAGUUUGUCCUCGACAAUCGACAUUGUCGAUGCGAGUUAUAGACUUCUCGGAAAAGACCACGCAAGCUUAUAGUUGAAGAAGAAAGCGGCCGCAAAAUGAGGAGUACUCACUUCUUAAGGCGCUACAGUUAUAUAGUUAUGCGUACGUAAACUAUAAAUAUGGUAAAAAUAGUCAUUGCUCUGAAUGUUUCACAAGCGAUACAAUCAUUACAGCGGAAAAAGUCGAAAGCUUCCACUCUGCGGAAGCGGAAUGAUAAAAUAUGAAGCUGGCAAAGAUACGAACGGUUAAAACGUUUUUAGCGACGGAAUGAAAGCAGAUAUAAAUGUAUUUGAUGAUGUAUAUAUAAAUAUAAUUCUCUCUCUUGGCGCAGAUAUUGCGUAUAUAUAUGUUGCCAUAUUUACAGUAAAGCAAGCGAUAAAACUGGCGAUACGCAAAAAGCAAAUCUCGAAAAUCUCGAAAAUCGAAAAUGCAUUUUCGUUGCCUCGUCGAAUACAAUGUACAUAUAUAUACAACAUUUUACUUUACAUGACCAGGUAUGUAAAAUGUGUUUCACACAUUUUGACGGAUUAAUAAUUCACGUGUCACUUGAACGUUCCGUCUGCAUCAUGAUUUUACUUUACGUGAAAAUAUCACAAAAUGUUAAUGGCCAAAGUCACGAGGAUAAUUUCCGAAAUUCAGCGAAUUCAAAGGAUAACACUGCUGAUCAAUUAACACCCAAUAACGCUAAUGAAAUAGUGUUUACCAAGCACUAAUUAGUCUCAAAUACGAGCUCGCGCUUUCCCGCGCGUUUGCUGCGUGACCAAGUGAAACACGACGAACGGGCGCGCUUAAUUGAGCUUGAAGGAUACUCGCGAUACAAGGCUGCUCGUGAAAUUAACAGAAAGAGAGAGAGAAAGAGAGGAGGGACCAUCGAAGAAGCGAGCACAGCUCGGAGAGAUCAAGCGAAAUCACCAUAGACGCCACAUACACCAUAAAAGGCGGAGGAUAACGCCGAUUAACGAACAACGAAGGCUUCUUGCAAAGGAAAGAAAAAAAGAAACAGGAAAAGUGGAAAAAUCAAUUAUUGAACAACCCAGCAAACGGAGAAUCGAUCGCCGAUUCUCGCGGAAACCCAGCGUGACCAGCAACGCGAACCACGUCAUCACCAGGGAGUGCCUCGUCGUUUUAAACGCAGUCUGCCCGACGUCGCUCGACUCACACAAGUUUCAUUGCAUUAUUUCGGCCAGCGUAUACAUAUAAAAAGUAUCUGUAUGUCCCUUCAAAACCCCGCUCCCUUGCCCGACCCGACGCUCCCCCGUGUAUGGUGCACCCCUUUCGCACCCCGCGGAGUCACCAGCCCGCGUAUACACCCUUUUCCAUCCCACCCGCCCAUCCCCCCAACCCUUACUAACACUCUACUCUCACGCCAGUGCAAUCGCUACAAUGCGAAAUCAAUUCGUCGCUUUGGAGGGCUCAGCGAAAUCAUGAGGUUACUCAACAAAGUAAAGUAAGUAGGGAGGGAGCUUGCUUCGCAUUAAUUAAGUCGCAAGUAAAUAGGGGAAGCAGGCACAUCCGGGAGCAAAACCGAGGAAACGGUAAAUUUCCGUGGUUGCUCAUGUGACUCCAUAUUCGUCUCUCUUAAAGAGGUGAUGCGAUGAAUAUAUUAACGGGAGAAAAAUAAAAAUACGUUAAUAGAAUUUUAAUUUAAAAUUUAAAGUUGAUUUUCUACGAUCUGCCGCCAUUUAUAGUAUCUUAUAUUUUCCAAAAAAUUUGAAAAGGUCGUGUAUGCACAUGGAAGUAAUAAACUUGACGUUAAAGUCUCCUUAAAUCUUUAUUCUCUCUUCAAGAGAAGUAAAUUUAGAGUCAUGCCUACAGAAACAUCUCGUAAAAGUGUCGCGCGCGAUUAAUCUUUCAUGGAGAUACAUUUAUACUGUUCAUCAAGAGCGAUCGGAAAAUGCAAAAAGUGCCAUUUUUGUCAUCCAAAGAUCGUUGUUCAAUUCAUCAGGUUUGUCCCGGAUGUACCACUUUAUAUAAGCAAAAUCGAGAAAAGCAGCAAAGGGGAAAAUCACGUUUUAAUCCACUGCGGUCCAAAAUCGAUACCAAUAAUUGCAUCAAUAUUAAAUACUUCGUUUCAAUUUCAGACAGCGUCGCCGACAACAACUUUUAUUAUUGGCGAGUCUCAUAAAAUUUUUGAAAAGGCAGUGCCGUGUCAUUUACAUCUGAAAGAAAUGGAAGUCAUCGCAAUAACGACUGCAUUGCGACCGCAAGAGGAUUAAUGCGCGAGCAGGCGCGGUGCCCACCCUCGAGGGAUCUCGAGGGACGAUCAUCGCGCCGGUACCAAUAAAAAUCAAUGCUGCUUCGAAGUAACGUUAUUGUACAACAAAGUGCGUGUUACGUGUGCGUGUACGUGAUGUUAAGGGUGGCGAGAGGAUCGCGUUAAGCAAGCCCGUGCAUCGUAAUGCUUUCUGUGCGGGACGGGAGAUCCGGUUGGUGGUACCGUCGUGCGGUGAAGCGGAUUCGUGCGUUUGUCGCUUCGCGUUAUGACUCGCGAUGCUGUCGCGUUAGCUGCGGACAAAAGAAGAAGCCGGAUAGGAGAGACUGAAAAGAAGGAAGCCGAGAACGUGGUACAAAACUGUAAUUUUGUAGACGUAUCGUUUGAUGGGCUAGUGCGCGCGAUAGUGCAGCGGCCAGGAGGUACAAGCUUGCGACAAUAUGCACGUGGCUGCAGUCGCUGCUCAGACGAAUAUACCGUUCAGCCGUGUGACGAAUGGUUUUUCCUCGCAACUGCGACCUAUUAUUACACUUUUUACGCAAAAAUCAGAGAAUUUACGCAAAGCCGAGAAAUAUUAUUGCAGCAAGACGUCAUUGCUCGACAUCGGAGAUGCGUUGGAUAAUAUUAACUCUGUAAAAUAAUUUUGUCAAAGUAGCGGGAAAUAUUUAGACGGAAAACGAUGAUAUAGCUAGUAGUAAUAAUGUAGUAGUAAUAAUAAUGAUAAAUUGCUCGGUAAUGUUCUAUGUAUUCUGCGCGAACGAAACUUGUUAUUUUGUAGAAAUGAAUCCGUAACCAGUUGAUGCGUUAAAGCGCAAGGAGCUUCGGCUUGGUUAGCCACAAGCAAAAUUGAACAAAACUACAAACAAAAUUGUUAGAUUCCCAUAAUUUAUUUUAGCAAGGUUUGAUGUUAACUGACACGGAUCCCUCUCUCUCGGUGUAAUACCAAGUCUGUGCGAAUAACCGAGCUAGCGAGCGAGAACAAUUCUGCGUCGGGAAGAAGUCAACAAUUUAAUUUCACUAUUUAUACGUAGUAGAAACUCCUUGAAACAUUUUCUAACGCCCGCCAAGUCGAGGUAUUUCGCAAAGCGACUAAUAUAACCGGCAUGUUAUUAUAGUACAAAAAGCUCUACGUAUGUAUUAAUAUACUGCGUAUUAGUAUACAACAAAAGCUGCAGCCGUAUUAGUUAAUAUUCACGCGAGUUUACAUACGUGCGUCUCACCUAUCUUAAGGCGAACGUUUGCGAUGCAUAAAAUGGAGAUAACAACCGUCGCAAUCGUAAAAGCAAGAUACGGUAAUAAUAGAAUACUCCAGUGGCGCGCAGUUACGAUAAGCGUUUUAUUAUCACCCCGCAAAAAAGAAAGUAACAGACCGUGAUGUUUUUCCGCAUUAUCAUUUUGGUGUCAUCGCACUAUUGACGAUACCGUUCCCCGCGUUACCGAUAUCACUGUAAUAACUCGCUGGAAAAUCGAAGAGAGACGAAGAAAACGUAUCCGUACGUAUCAUGAAGAUGCAAAGCGCUUCGUCUUACCGCUUACUCAAACCGCAAAAUUGAUCGUUCUACUUCUAGGUAUCUACGUAUUUCUACCCGCGACAGUAGGCUACUCCGUCGCGAUCGCAUUUGCCCGUCUUCGAUCCGAUCUGACCUCUGAAUCGACCCGACGGCGGUACUCGCACAAACCUACAUGGCACUACAUACGUGUCCUCCGCGGUAAUUUUUCCGAGGGUGAUCCGCGGAUCUUGCGUCGGAGCUGAAGGGUAUACUCGCCGUAUAUGGCAGCUGUAUAGUUAUGGCCCCACAUGUGCUCUAAAUAUACUCCGCAGAUCGAUACGGUUUCAGUUUCAUAAAAUAUUGACGGGCCCGUUAAGGGGAACACGUCCCGGUGUGACAAAAGCAAUGAGAAAAAACGGUCGCACGAGAGGGUAAAGAGAGAAAGACGAGACGGUGUCCCGGGGCGGGAUGGGACCAGUGCGAUGUGUAAUAUAUUAUGAUAUAAUAAAUAUCCGAUGCCAGCUCUCUCGGAAGCGUUAAGACGCGCCGUGCCGCUGUGCCGUGGUCACACGGACGUGCAGCGAGAGAGGGUUGAAAGACAAGGGCGACAGAGACUGGUUCGGGAGCGACUUCGAGAGGUAGGUGUCGGACACCGACAUCGUUUGAUCCGGGCGACUCAGGGGGGAUGAUCUCGAGGGAGGAUGGGACACUGAGACCGGUUGUAGGGGAUUAGGUGGUCGGUCGGAUGGUCGAUCGGAGUCGUAGUUGGGGAUCGCCGGUGCGGUCGUUAAGGGAGGAGUCCAGGGAGGAGCGAGUGCCACCCCGCACAAAUCAUCAUCUCAUCUCGGGCAACAGUGUGUGCAAUGUGUAUUGUUUGUGGUGUGUCAAGUAUACAUCGAGGAUUCAGACAACGACUACGUUCGUGAGAGAUAGGUAAGCUCGCGUGGCUGUCGCCGUAACAGAAUCUUAAUUCGAGGAUUAUCCGGAACGAUGCUCAAGCUUGAAUACAAGCUUAGACGUUACCGUUGCAAGCUCGAUAAAAUUUUCGUUAAGGAAUAAUGCCCGAGUGCACAUCGGUCAAAGAACACGUGGAUGAAAGGAUCGGGCGGUUAGCAGCUCCGAAACGCCCUGUACGAUCAUCAGCCACGAAAGGGUUGGCAUGAUGAGUUGCGUAGGAUGGAGCUAUUUCCAUUUGAAGAGGACCACUCGGUGUGUAAGUGGCACGCUGCUGGUAUACACGUAAGCAUGUAAACCGGGGAAGAUAAGCGAAACGUAAUAUUUAUGCGUCGCGGUAGAAGCUCGGGUCGCGUUCGGAGAGCGAGCAAAAUCGAGGAAGAAAAAUUGAGAGAGAAAAGACGAAGACAUCCUCCGAACGCGUAUUGAUCAUUCUUACACAACGGCGUUGUGUACCGAGAGCGCGUGCUUUUAACGCAGUGAACGUUAUAAGCAAUUGCUUAAUACCGCAGUUUACCAUCCCGAGUGCUGCCAUAAUAAUCUGAUACCGAAGCAUUUCAUGUCCACGAAUGUCGCGUGCAUGCCGCCAGCUUAACGUGGAGGAAUCUUAACAUUUUAAGCCGACCGCGCUUGUAACUGUGGCAUUUAAUCCUAGAAUGGCGGAUUUUAAUCAGAGGCAAAUCCCUUUCUCUGUAAUUACAAUAAUAAUUAUUAUUAUUCUCCGUUCGCGUGUAACACAUCAAUAGAGAUGUUCUCAGCGAGAGAUUUUAAAGCUUGCGAUCUCUUCAGCGGGAAAAAAAGGAUGAAAUUUAUGACGAUCACGCAUUGCAACACACACAUAUAGAAGGCUCAGUUUCUGCGCAUUUCUUCAGGGACAAAUAGCACCCGAAGAAAUGAUCGAUAUAACUCACCACAUGGCCCCCGCAAACUCGUAACUUUAUUAAAAGCGUUACACCCGUCGUAUCUGUAAACGCUCCUCUCUGCGCUAGUUACUUUAGGCCCACCUACAAACUGUGUGUACCAAAUCAACUACUACUACUGGGCGCCGUGUAACUGUAAAAUCAUUUAAAAUUGAUGUCAAAUCGAUCGACGAUCUUCCACACAUACUCCAGUGUUUUUAACGUAUAUAAUGUAUAUAACGUAUAACUCAUUUUUGCUCAAUUCCUGCCAGGCUCGAUGAAAGAUGAUACAAGAUAAUGAAUUGUAAACUAAUCUCACGGACAUCCAUAAAGAAGAAAUAAUAACAUUGCAAGAUGCGAAGAACGGUUUAGAGAAUACUGUUAUUAAGUAAAAUUAUAGUUUUAUAUAAAACUGUAUGUAAUAAACUGCACGUAUACAUGUA